This 428-nucleotide ribosomal RNA is filed under the name bacterium. Its description in RNAcentral is "partial 16S ribosomal RNA". It matches the Rfam family "Bacterial small subunit ribosomal RNA", at positions 355 to 776 of the family's 1533-position model. The record is from RNAcentral.
UGGGGAAUAUUGGACAAUGGGCGAAAGCCUGAUCCAGCCAUGCCGCGUGUGUGAAGAAGGUCUUCGGAUUGUAAAGCACUUUAAGUUGGGAGGAAGGGCAGUAAGCGAAUACCUUGCUGUUUUGACGUUACCGACAGAAUAAGCACCGGCUAACUCUGUGCCAGCAGCCGCGGUAAUACAGAGGGUGCAAGCGUUAAUCGGAAUUACUGGGCGUAAAGCGCGCGUAGGUGGUUCGUUAAGUUGGAUGUGAAAGCCCCGGGCUCAACCUGGGAACUGCAUCCAAAACUGGCGGGCUAGAGUAGGGCAGAGGGUGGUGGAAUUUCCUGUGUAGCGGUGAAAUGCGUAGAUAUAGGAAGGAACACCAGUGGCGAAGGCGACCACCUGGCUCAUACUGACACUGAGGUGCGAAAGCGUGGGGAGCAAACAGG